Gadus macrocephalus (Pacific cod) is the source of this 481-nucleotide long non-coding RNA. RefSeq lists it as uncharacterized. Lineage: Eukaryota; Metazoa; Chordata; Actinopteri; Gadiformes; Gadidae. The transcript is spliced from 3 exons. The record is from RefSeq and is a predicted model, not a curated record.
UUGAGGACUGGUCAAACAGCCUGAAAUUAGCUGAAAUGUACCUGAAAUUACCUGAAAUUAGAGUGUGCCCGCCCGAGCGAGUGAUGCCUAAAACAUGCAAACAAAACUGAAGACCAGGAACUGGAACCUGGGAACCUGGAAGAUGAUGUUGUCCUGAAGGACACAAUUCAGGCAGCAGCAUGGUGCCAGUUACAGUCUUUCAAGGACACCGUUUCUCUCCCAGAGGUCAUUGGGAUGGAAGGUUGGGAGCAGAUGGCAGCAUCAACACAGCGCAAAUCCCAUGACGGCGGGGAUGAGGAAGAAACGUGGAAACCAUUCCAAUUCUCAUUCAGAUUACAUACUGACUAUGAACUGUUCUGUGUGGAGAUGAUGGACAGGAGAAACCUGAAGGUGUUUGCCUCUUUUGAGUCAAACACCUCUCCCCGUCCCCCCUCCCCGUCCCCCUCCCCGUGACGCCUGCGCCACACGACUCCAAUGUAGU